RNAcentral lists this long non-coding RNA (561 nucleotides) under Rattus norvegicus (Norway rat). RNAcentral describes it as "long non-coding RNA NONRATT033253". Lineage: Eukaryota; Metazoa; Chordata; Mammalia; Rodentia; Muridae. The record is from RNAcentral.
CUCAUGUACUCUCACAUCCUCCUUUAUGUUAUGAUUUCAGAAACUGAAAGAAAUUUCAACAAAGCAAUUCCAAUAUAAAUAUACUAUAGUCCUAUAGGCCCACAAGAGACUGAACUGUUGUCCACAAUAUACUGAGCCCAGUAGGAGAGGGAGUCAAGAUGCUUCAUUUUUACUUGAACCAAUACUACCUAAAGGUGAAAGAUGACAAGACAUGAGUAAAUUGCUAAAGACCCAGAAAGACCAGAAAGACAGCAUCAGGACCUCCUACAUGACUACUAGAUGCAGAAACCAAGAACCAAAUGAUUACGACAGAUUGCAGACAACUGGGACAGAAACGAGUUGUUCACUUAGAGGCACUACAAUUAGCGUGCCCAAGAGACCACGAAGUAACCGAGAAUGAGAGUAAUACCUAUUCAAGUCUCUUGAAACUCAAUAAUGGGAACUAACUGAAAGAAGAAUUCUUACAUCUUGAAUUGGAAAUGAGAAUAAGUUUGUUAUUGGUAAAGAGAAGAAAGAAUAUAUAUGGUUCACGAACAGAAUAUAACUAGAAAUCCUGUGUGA